This 253-nucleotide ribosomal RNA is filed under the name uncultured bacterium. RNAcentral describes it as "partial 16S ribosomal RNA". It matches the Rfam family "Bacterial small subunit ribosomal RNA", at positions 524 to 776 of the family's 1533-position model. The record is from RNAcentral.
UACGUAGGGUGCGAGCGUUGUCCGGAAUUAUUGGGCGUAAAGAGCUCGUAGGCGGUUUGUCGCGUCGGCCGUGAAAACUUGGGGCUUAACCCCAAGCCUGCGGUCGAUACGGGCAGACUUGAGUUCGGCAGGGGAGACUGGAAUUCCUGGUGUAGCGGUGAAAUGCGUAGAUAUUGGGAAGAACACCUGAGGCGAAGGCGGGUUGCUGGGCCGACACUGACGCUGAGGCGCGAAAGCCAGGGGAGCAAACGGG